Molecule: long non-coding RNA, 1102 nt
Filed under: Vitis vinifera (wine grape)
Lineage: Eukaryota; Viridiplantae; Streptophyta; Magnoliopsida; Vitales; Vitaceae
Description: long non-coding RNA (VVIN_LNC001939)
Source: RNAcentral
UUUAAGUCGCUUAAGCCCUAUCGUUCAGGUUACUUCAGUGCUGCCAUCAAGCUCCAACCUGGCUAUACUGCAGGAGUGAUCACAUCUUUCUAUGUAAGAAUGAGAAUUCUAUAUUUCUAGGAAUAUCAAUUGUGGGCUGUAUCACUCAAAUUAAGAACUGAUAUUCUAAUAAUUCAUUAUCUGGGCAAUGACAGCUUUCAAACAACGAAGACUACCCUGGGAACCACGAUGAAAUCGAUAUCGAGUUCCUGGGAACAACACUGGAUAAGCCUUAUACCCUGCAGACCAACGUGUAUAUGAAGGGAAGUGGAGAUGGAAGACUAAUAGGGAGGGAAGUGAAGAUUCAUCUCUGGUUCGAUCCAACAGAAGACUUUCAUAAUUAUGCUAUCCUAUGGACCCCAGAUGAGAUCAUGUUAGUAUCAUUUCCUCCAAAUCCCGCCGCUAAUUUUCUUCAAGCAUGCAAAGUCUUUUCAUUCUUUGGCCUAAAGGUGAAAACGACGAUGCUACAUGCCACAUGGCCCAAAGGUUGCUUGAUUUAAUCUCAAUUUCUGCUUACUAUUUAUGUAGUUGUACUAUGAAAUGGUUUGCAGAUUCCUAGUGGACGAUGUCCCCGUAAGAAGGUAUCCAAGAAAGAAUGACGCUACAUUUCCCGCAAGGCCAAUGUGGGUGUAUGGAUCGAUAUGGGAUGCGUCAUCAUGGGCCACAGAGGAUGGAAAAUACAAAGCCGAUUACCGGUACCAACCAUUCAUAGGUAGGUACAAAAAUUUCAAGCUAGGCGGGUGCACCACCGAUGCAGCAGCCUCCUGCCGGCCACCCUCCAUCUCGCCGUCCUCCGCAGGAGGCCUGAGCCAACAGCAGUACUCAGCAAUGGAAUCGGUGCAGAAGAAUUACGUGGUUUACGACUAUUGCCAGGACCCCAAGAGAGACCACUCUCAGAUACCAGAGUGUUAGGUAGAUGUUGAUAAAAAGACUAAAGAGUGGGUUGGUUAUACACAGUUAUAAGUUGUUACUUAAGUUACAAAGACAGUUUGUUUUGGAGUGCAUUGUGAUGGGUCCAGCUUGCCAAGAACAGGUGCAAGAGUCGUUGAGCGCGCGUCCAAGC